GACUCCAAUGGGUGAACAGGGGAGCGGAUUGGACUUACUUUUUUUCAAACAGUCAGUCUUUUUCUCUCUCCUAUUAAUCCAUUCGAU
Tribolium castaneum (red flour beetle) is the source of this 87-nucleotide non-coding RNA. RefSeq annotates it as microRNA mir-14. The record is from RefSeq and is marked provisional. The transcript has a single exon. NCBI's taxonomy places the organism in Eukaryota, Metazoa, Arthropoda, Insecta, Coleoptera, Tenebrionidae.